Brassica rapa (field mustard) is the source of this 1888-nucleotide long non-coding RNA. RefSeq lists it as uncharacterized. NCBI's taxonomy places the organism in Eukaryota, Viridiplantae, Streptophyta, Magnoliopsida, Brassicales, Brassicaceae. The record is from RefSeq and is a predicted model, not a curated record.
UAAUGUGAUGUGUGGCCAAACAACAGUACUUUAGUUCAUAACAUGAUUCAAGUUCAUAACUGAUGGGCUAAUAUCUUGUCCAAAGUCUUUUUUUCACCAAUCUACCAUAGCUUGGUUUAUCGAGUUGGCUUCACAAUCUGAUAAUAACAAUGACUUAUGUGAAAUAUUGAAACAAGCAAUUGUUUUGGGACAUAAGGUCCUUAGAGCAUGAUUAUUGCAGUUUCUAAAGAAGGGUUUUAAACAAAAUAAGUCAUUUAUUUAAAUCAAAACUAAAUAAAAAGGUAAUAAGCGAUCCUUAAUACAGGAUUUUGGAGACCGAUAAUACAAAGGGUCCUUAAACCACGUGUCAGCAACUGUGAAAUUUGAUUUUUUUUUUUCUUUCUUUCUUUUCUCUUUCUUUCCUCCUCUCUUGUCUUCUCCGUCUACGAUCUACAGCGAGGUUCAGUCAAGCCGGAUCAACAACGCCCUUCCUUUGUAUUCUGUGCUCAAAGGAGCCUUCAAAAUCGUCGAAGGUCCUGUCAGCUCUGCCGCCGGGAACUUAGGUUAGGGUUUUCUCCGUCUGAUCUGAUGAAACGGUUCGUCGAAACCACCGGUGUCUCGCUUGUCUCCCAAGGAAUCUGGACACAAGGAUGCCGGCGAUUCAGAUUCCGUUCUCAGCCCUAAGCUCAAAGAAUCAGAGAAGAAACUCGUCGUGGGCAACGGCCGUGGCGGCGGAUGUGAGGCUUCUCAGGUUGCGGAAGGCGAAGACAAGGGCGAAAUCAACAUGUGCCCACCGACUCGUCUCGGGCAGUUUUACGAAUUCUUCUCCUUCUCCCACCUUACUCCUCCGAUCCAAUAUAUCAGAAGGUUUGUUCGUCCAUCAAUUGAAGAUAAAAGAUUAGAUGAUCUCUUUCAAAUCGAUAUUAAAGUUUCAAGUGGGAAGCCUAUCACGGUUGUUGCGUCAAGAACAGUUUUUUACCCAGCUGAGAAACAGCAGCUUCUUUGUCAUUCUUUAGUUGAGCUAUAUAAGCAGGCUUUUUGAUGCUGCUUAUGACACUCUUAUGAAAGCUUUCAUUGAGCAUAAUAAAUUUGGCAACCUUCCUUAUGGCUUCCGGGCAAACACUUGGGUGGUUCCUCCGGUUGUUGCAAACAAGUAAGCUCUGUUUAGGUUGUUCUAUCUAUUGAUUCUGUAACGAAGUUAAUGUUCUGUUAUGUUUAUGUUGUGUCUUCUUCUUGUUGUUGUUAUAUUUAUGUUUAUUCACUAAACUAAAGUCAUCCAUUUUCUCUCUUUUUAGUCAUCACACACGUUUUUUUUAAGAACCCUUAAGUUAAGAAACUAUGAAUGGAGGACAAAAAGUUAGUUGUUUCUUAACUAAAUUCUUAACACACAUUUAAUACUAAAAAAGUGAUCAAGAAACCCUUAUGGGGUUAUAGGGAUAAUGAUGCUCUUAGGCUAAAGUUCGUCAGUCUAGUGGUUUAACUAAAAAUUUAUUAAUACUUCUACAAAAAGCAAAUUAUGCACAUAAUUUUUUUAAAAAAAUUUACAAGACAUCUUCAUCGUGACACAAAAAAUAUAGUCGGGAAUUGAUCUCAUAGAAGGGCUCGGGUAAUGCAUUCAAAUGUGAAUAUAGAAAUUAAAAAGGUCUCUAGGCUCCUGGUAUGUAAUCAACAUUCAUGUAGAGAUCAAUAUGUACAUAUAACCGAAGAGAAAGAGCUUAUGACGAAGACCGAACAAUCAAAUAUCUCAAAUUACUUCAAAUACUUUAUUAUAUGAGAACAUAAGAUGUAGAAAAAUGGAGCUCAGAAACAAAAUUUGUAACCAAUGUGUAGUUUUUUUAAAACAUUGUCUAAAACAGAACACCGUGACUACUCGGCUUCGUCAAGAUACGUACUCUACAACAAGAAGUUC